This 755-nucleotide long non-coding RNA is filed under the name Danio rerio (zebrafish). Its description in RNAcentral is "si:dkey-158n23.3 (ENSDARG00000100326.2)". The record is from RNAcentral. Lineage: Eukaryota; Metazoa; Chordata; Actinopteri; Cypriniformes; Danionidae.
CCGCCAUUUGUGUUGUAUCCGAGUUAACGUGAGCUGUUAUAUGGCUUUAGCGUCUUUGCAGAGUAAAUACAGCGUUACGUUAGUGUUGUAUUAAGGGCUGUAAUAGUAAAAUCACACGAUCGAAAGGGUAAAAAAUGAUCACGAUGACAGAUAUUUUAAAUUUCCCGCUCGGAAGAAAGGAUAUUGACCGACUGUAGCGGUAACAACAGACGCAUCGAAUGUCCUAGCCUGCUGCAUUGAGACGCAGAAUAUAUCUUCAUUUCUCCGUUUAUGCUCUCAACAUUUUCACAAAGGUAAGUACAACUGACCCAGACUGAGCACCAUCUCUACAUCUGGGCCACACAGAAACUACACAGACAGACACUGCACACUCUGCAAGAAAGACUAAGAGAAGAGAAAGAAAACCAACACUGCAGUCAGCUGAAGAUGUGGACGAACAACAUGCUGGGAAGGAGACAUUUGAGGUUGAAAUUAGUGAGAGACACUGAUGAGGAGACACAACACUAAGGAAGUAGCUGAGACAAACUGAAAGUAAAUUGUGUAUGACAAGUGUAGAAGUAAACCGCCUGUUGGAGGAGAACUGACAGCUGCUGUGUGAACUUGAAGAAUAUAGGAUGUCUGGUGGAUUUUGUAGCAAGAAUGAUGCUAAAGUAUCAAACAGAAAAAAAAAACAGAAAAUCUUAAUAACAAGCACUGAGCCAUAAACAUGAUACUCCCUUAUGAGGUGAAGAUGUCGCAUUACAGCAUAGGAUUGU